Molecule: ribosomal RNA, 115 nt
Filed under: Pteropus alecto (black flying fox)
Lineage: Eukaryota; Metazoa; Chordata; Mammalia; Chiroptera; Pteropodidae
Also listed under: 1 other name
Source: RNAcentral
GUCUACAGCCAUGCCACCCUGAACAAGCCCAAUGUCUGAUCUCGGAAGCUAAGCCUGUCAGGCCUGGUUAGUACUUGGAUGGGAGACCACCUAGGAAGACCAGGUGCUGUAGGCA